This is a long non-coding RNA of Aptenodytes forsteri (emperor penguin), 2666 nucleotides long. RefSeq lists it as uncharacterized. NCBI's taxonomy places the organism in Eukaryota, Metazoa, Chordata, Aves, Sphenisciformes, Spheniscidae. The transcript has 2 exons. The record is from RefSeq and is a predicted model, not a curated record.
CGCGCGUGUGUGUGUGUUUUAAUAAGGUGACUCUGCUCACCCUUUAGGCAGUCAUCUCGGUGCUAAAAAAGAGAAGUGUGACUCCCUCUGUCUUGAAGUCUGUUCGUGCAUCUGUGCUCUAAGGAUACCAGGCCCAUUGCUGAUACUACACAGCUACAUAACCAUGGUGCAGACUUCUGAGGAGAUUGCUGAGUUGUGGGGAAAAAAAAAAAGCUGUCAGAAAGUCUGAAGAGGAGAUUCGUGUGUGAUGAGAAAGCUGAAAUUGCAGAGAGGGCAAGACAAGGAAAAGCACCGCCAUGGGCAAGUAUAAAGUCAUAAAGAAAACCUAGGGUGGCAGAAGGUGGCAUGACUGCAGCUGUGCUCCAGGGACCUGCAGGAACUGCCCCUUCUUCUCCUGACUCUUGCCUGCCUGGCUAGCAAAGACUCUGCGUCUGUCUUCUAAGAAGUGGUGAGCAUAUUAAUGCCUAGCCUAGUAGUGAUCAUUUGUGUACGAUAACCAAUAAAUAAUUUUUUAUACUUCUAAGCUGAAGUAUACUUCUGCAAGCAGAAUCACUUUGUGCUUGGCUAAGGUGUCCAAACAGGGACCCAAAAAGGAAUGAUUACAGGAGAUAGAAGUUCACAGAUAAAGCAAAUGUAAGAAUUGUCCCCCCAAAAAGUGAUCUCAAAAAAACAGAGGUGCUUCCGAAUAAAAACCAUCUGGUUUUGGAGGGAGACUGGUGACUUCAUAGGGUGGAAGGAGGGUGGGGAAUUAGGGUGGAAAUGUCUAGCUACAAAGGAUCUGUGGGAGAAAGGAGGUGUUCACGGAGCUGAAGAUGUGGUGAGGCUCAUGAGAGAGAACAACAGUAGCAGAAGGCUUUCAGAAGGCAAAGUUCAACAGCUGGCUUGGAAACCAGCUGUGAUACUAAUGGCCAAUUUUAUGAAAUUAGAGUUAGCAACCUCUAGCAAAGGCCUUCUCCAAAUGAUACAGAUGUAAUAUUGAAACAUUUAAUAAAAAGGGAAAAAUAAAAACAAAAUGAAGUUCACCUUGUUGAAUCACAAGGUGAAAAUAGAUUCGGUGCAUCACUGAGUCAUGACUGAAAUCUUUCUAAGGUGUACUUCCAAAGAGAAUUUUCGGGAAAAAGUAUUUCUUGAAAGUGUAUAUUUUGUGAAUGAUACCUACAAGGAAAAAAAAAAAAAAGACUUAGUUUGACUAUAAAUAAAUGUGAUGGUGAAAUGCAGUUCGGGGCAUCAUAUGGGAAGAUAAUUUCUCAGAGCAGGGAAUGCAGUUACUUUUUUCAUUAAUUGCUUUUUCCAGUUCCUGUCCUGCUUCUUUUCAAGUCUGUGGGAAACAAAUAUAAAACACUGGGACUACAUCUUUGCUAGUGACAUUUUUAGUAACUGGUAACAUUACUAAAGCCAAGCCAACAGUUAAGGAACAGUCCACAAUUAAGAGUGGGCUUGAAUUUUAUAGAAUAGGUACAGCUUGCAUUAAUUGUUGAGUUUGUUAUUGCAAAUAAAAAGAGUCAAAUUCCAGAGAAAGCAAAAAAGAGAAAGAUUUUUGAUUACUGGGAAGAAGAGCUAGAUGCAUGUACUUGAAGUUAAAAGUUCCAGAAAGCUAUACCACAUUUCAUCCAAAAGUGUGAAGAGGAAAGGAAAACGGUGAUACAUCAAUGUCAGAAAAACACCCAAAAGUGACGAAAAAGAAGAAAGUGCAUUUAAGUGCUGCUCAAGAAAACAAGUAACUUUAGUUACAAUAGUAAUUACCAUGGCAUUGUAUUAUUAAUUACUACUUACCACUUUCUGACUAUUCUUUUGAUUAUAAGCUGAACAAUUGCAGUGUCUCCCAGUAUUUGAAGCCAAGUCUCUCAACAGUAUGUAAGCAGAAGAAAACCAUCAUCAUCGGCUGGAUAGACAUUGCAUCAUUAGUCCAAAUACAGUUUAGAAAUCUAAAGUCUCUGUUAUCUGUUAAAUCUAAAACUUCAACUGGUGAAUAAACCUUUAUUAUAGAAUUCUGACUAAAGGGGGAAAACCCCUAAACUGCCUAAUUUAAAUUGUCCUUAGAAAUGCUCAAGAAGACUUUUAUUUGUCAUAUUCUAUGAAAUAAGAACCUAUCUUAAGCUGCAAAUUAGAAAGCUGGAACAUAGGUUACCAGAAGUCCACUGAACAAUGGACUUUCCAGAUGCAGCCCUGUAAUAUGGCCUCUCAGAUGGAAUCAGAACAAAAAACCAUAUAUAUAUAUAUGAAGUAUGUGACAGUUCUCCUAUUUAGUUGAUUUAAGCCAAGAAAAUCAUUCAACGCAGAAGGCUAACAGUCUCAGCCUUUCUGAACAAAAAGGUCCUAUGCAAUAUAGUAAGUAUAUAGGUAGUACGUAGUAGUUGGUUAGACAUGCUGAACCUUACCAGAGGUUCAGUCCAAGCCUGAAGGAAUUUGUUUGAGUUUAGUCAUAUCCAACAUUGCAUACCAGCUUUAUAUGAUAUAACUUGCAGGCUGACCAGCCUGUAGUUGAUUUGAGCGGCAAGUGAGGCUAUGAUUGGCAUAGUUAAUUAAACAAAACAUAAAUAUUGUGAAGACUAACUGACAUUGUGUGAUUUAAGGCUCCUUAAAUAAAAUGGAACAAUAUUGUUUAUGAGGAACACAUUAACACUAGUCUUUCAUGGUUGUAUUGAUUAAAGUUUGUCUUUAUCUUG